CUACUGUUGAAGAGUCCCAAACUAGGACGAAACAGCUGUCCAGUAC
Molecule: non-coding RNA, 46 nt
Filed under: Trichobilharzia regenti
Lineage: Eukaryota; Metazoa; Platyhelminthes; Trematoda; Strigeidida; Schistosomatidae
Source: RNAcentral